CUUUCAUCUUUAUAUUCUUCAAAAUUAUUCCAAAGAGUUUCAACACCAGGACUAAAAAUUUUGCCUGGUUGUCCAAUUUUUCUCUUUUUUCUCAGAUCUUUGUAUUUUGGGGGGUUUUGGAGAUGAAGGUUUCUUCAAUCCUUUUUGUUUCAUUAUUUCGGCCAUCUUCUUUGGAUCAUUAUGAUGUUUCGACCUCACCUCUUUGACGCUCGUUGAUUUCUUUAAUUGUUCUACCAUUAGAGCAAGCCUACAUAAUCAUAUAAUAAAA
Molecule: long non-coding RNA, 268 nt
Filed under: Capsicum annuum
Lineage: Eukaryota; Viridiplantae; Streptophyta; Magnoliopsida; Solanales; Solanaceae
Description: long non-coding RNA (CANN_LNC004487)
Source: RNAcentral